Molecule: ribosomal RNA, 270 nt
Filed under: uncultured archaeon
Lineage: Archaea
Description: partial 16S ribosomal RNA
Rfam family: Archaeal small subunit ribosomal RNA
Source: RNAcentral
CAGCACCUCAAGUGGUCAGGAUGAUUAUUGGGCCUAAAGCAUCCGUAGCCGGCGCUGUAAGUUUUCGGUUAAAUCUGUACGCUCAACGUACAGGCUGCCGGGAAUACUGCAGCGCUAGGGAGUGGGAGAGGUAGACGGUACUCGGUAGGAAGGGGUAAAAUCCUUUGAUCUAUUGAUGACCACCUGUGGCGAAGGCGGUCUACCAGAACACGUCCGACGGUGAGGGAUGAAAGCUGGGGGAGCAAACCGGAUUAGAUAUCCGAGUAGUCC